UACGGAGGAGGCAAGCGUUAUCCGGAAUUAUUGGGCGUAAAGCGUGCGCAGGCGGCUUCGCAAGUCAGACGUGAAAUCCCCGGGCUUAACCUGGGAAUGGCGUUUGAAACUACGGAGCUGGAGUGUGGCAGAGGGAGGUAGAAUUCCACGUGUAGCGGUGAAAUGCGUAGAUAUGUGGAGGAAUACCGAUGGCGAAGGCAGCCUCCUGGGCCAACACUGACGCUCAUGCACGAAAGCGUGGGGAGCAAACAGG
This 253-nucleotide ribosomal RNA is filed under the name uncultured bacterium. RNAcentral's name for it is "partial 16S ribosomal RNA". It matches the Rfam family "Bacterial small subunit ribosomal RNA", at positions 524 to 776 of the family's 1533-position model. The record is from RNAcentral.